This 329-nucleotide ribosomal RNA is filed under the name uncultured eukaryote. RNAcentral's name for it is "partial 18S ribosomal RNA". It matches the Rfam family "Eukaryotic small subunit ribosomal RNA", at positions 1470 to 1796 of the family's 1831-position model. The record is from RNAcentral.
CCCUUAGAUGUUCUGGGCCGCACGCGCGCUACACUGACGGAGGCAGCGAGCGUGUCCUUCGCCGGCAGGUGCGGGCAAUCUUGCGAGUCUCCGUCGUGCUGGGGAUAGAUGGUUGCGAUUGUCGAUCUUGAACGAGGAAUUCCUAGUAAGCGCGAGUCAUCAGCUCGCGCUGAUUACGUCCCUGCCCUUUGUACACACCGCCCGUCGCUACUACAGAGUGCCCGUGUCCAAGAAACGGUCGGACCUGUGCGGCCUCUCCGGGCGACCGGAGGGCCGUUACGGGGAAGACCCUUUAUUUGACGCGGGUCGAUGAAGUAAAAGUCGUAACA